GGGGCAACCCUGGCGGCGAGCGGCGAACGGGUGAGUAAUACAUCGGAACGUACCCAGGAGUGGGGGAUAACACAUCGAAAGAUGUGCUAAUACCGCAUACGCCCUGAGGGGGAAAGCGGGGGAUCGCAAGACCUCGCGCUGUUGGAGCGGCCGAUGUCGGAUUAGCUAGUUGGUAGGGUAAAGGCCUACCAAGGCGACGAUCCGUAGCUGGUCUGAGAGGAUGAUCAGCCACACUGGGACUGAGACACGGCCCAGACUCCUACGGGAGGCAGCAGUGGGGAAUUUUGGACAAUGGGGGCAACCCUGAUCCAGCCAUUCCGCGUGAGUGAAGAAGGCCUUCGGGUUGUAAAGCUCUUUCGGCAGUAACGAAACGGCGGGCUCUAACAUGGCCUGUCAAUGACGGUACCGGAAUAAGAAGCACCGGCUAACUACGUGCCAGCAGCCGCGGUAAUACGUAGGGUGCGAGCGUUAAUCGGAAUUACUGGGCGUAAAGCGUGCGCAGGCGGUUGUGUAAGACAGGCGUGAAAUCCCCGGGCUCAACCUGGGAACUGCGUUUGUGACUGCACAGCUAGAGUAUGGCAGAGGGGGGGUGGAAUUCCACGUGUAGCAGUGAAAUGCGUAGAGAUGUGGAGGAACACCGAUGGCGAAGGCAGCCCCCUGGGCCAAUACUGACGCUCAUGCACGAAAGCGUGGGUAGCAAACAGGAUUAGAUACCCUGGUAGUCCACGCCCUAAACGAUGUCAACUAGGUGUUGGGGAAGGGUAAAACCUUUUUAGUACCGGAGCUAACGCCGUGAAGUUGACCGCCUGGGGGAGUACGGCCGCAAGGUUAAAACUCAAAGGGAAUUGACCGGGGACCCGCACAAGCGGUGGAUGAAAUGUGGGAUUAAUUUCGAUGC
RNAcentral lists this ribosomal RNA (898 nucleotides) under uncultured bacterium. RNAcentral describes it as "bacterial SSU rRNA". It matches the Rfam family "Bacterial small subunit ribosomal RNA", at positions 76 to 957 of the family's 1533-position model. The record is from RNAcentral.